RNAcentral lists this ribosomal RNA (463 nucleotides) under Streptococcus mitis. RNAcentral's name for it is "bacterial SSU rRNA". It matches the Rfam family "Bacterial small subunit ribosomal RNA", at positions 28 to 475 of the family's 1533-position model. The record is from RNAcentral. Lineage: Bacteria; Bacillati; Bacillota; Bacilli; Lactobacillales; Streptococcaceae.
GACGAACGCCGGCGGCGUGCCUAAUACAUGCAAGUAGAACGCUGAAGGAGGAGCUUGCUUCUCUGGAUGAGUUGCGAACGGGUGAGUAACGCGUAGGUAACCUGCCUGGUAGCGGGGGAUAACUAUUGGAAACGAUAGCUAAUACCGCAUAAGAGUAGAUGUUGCAUGACAUUUGCUUAAAAGGUGCAAUUGCAUCACUACCAGAUGGACCUGCGUUGUAUUAGCUAGUUGGUGAGGUAACGGCUCACCAAGGCGACGAUACAUAGCCGACCUGAGAGGGUGAUCGGCCACACUGGGACUGAGACACGGCCCAGACUCCUACGGGAGGCAGCAGUAGGGAAUCUUCGGCAAUGGACGGAAGUCUGACCGAGCAACGCCGCGUGAGUGAAGAAGGUUUUCGGAUCGUAAAGCUCUGUUGUAAGAGAAGAACGAGUGUGAGAGUGGAAAGUUCACACUGUGACGG